UACGUAGGGACCAAGCGUUGUCCGGAAUCAUUGGGCGUAAAGAGCGUGUAGGCGGCUCGGUAAGUCCGCUGUGAAAGUCCAGGGCUCAACCCUGGAAUGCCGGUGGAAACUGUCGAGCUAGAGUCCGGAAGAGGCGAGUGGAAUUCCUGGUGUAGCGGUGAAAUGCGCAGAUAUCAGGAGGAACACCAAUGGCGAAGGCAGCUCGCUGGGACGGUACUGACGCUGAGACGCGAAAGCGUGGGGAGCAAACAGG
RNAcentral lists this ribosomal RNA (253 nucleotides) under uncultured bacterium. RNAcentral describes it as "partial 16S ribosomal RNA". It matches the Rfam family "Bacterial small subunit ribosomal RNA", at positions 524 to 776 of the family's 1533-position model. The record is from RNAcentral.